Non-coding RNA from Gasterosteus aculeatus aculeatus (three-spined stickleback), 3240 nucleotides. The record is from RefSeq and is a predicted model, not a curated record. Lineage: Eukaryota; Metazoa; Chordata; Actinopteri; Perciformes; Gasterosteidae.
AGGUAUAUCCUCUCUGCAACAGUCCCUAAAUAAUGCCUUGACAGGCCACACACAAACAGUUUGGGCGACAUCUUGCUUUUGGUGCAGAAGAGACGCAAGUCCUCUCGCAAGAAGUGCAGUUUUGGCAAAGCCUGUUUUUACUUUGUGCCUCUAGCUUUCCUGAUGGAGGGAACCAGGGACAAAAAAGGAGGUGGACCAGACUCUGCUCGACCUGACGACAGUCAAAAGAGGAGAACAAGGCGAAAGAAAAGAGACUGGUGACAUACAAUCCAGCACCGCCAUACCUUCUGCACACUGUGUCAGCGUGAAGCUACAUUUAAGAUGCAUCUGCUGUGCCUUUCACUUUCCUCCUGAUUUUUAUUUGUCUGACAGCAUUCUGUUUCUAUUUCCUGCUGCCGCCAUUUCUCACCAUCUUUUUCUUCACCGCUCUCCUAAUCAGCUGACCAUAUUUGACUGUUCACAUAUUGCUCCUCCUUCAGCUUCACCAUCACCGUUUCUUUCUCCGUUUACAGUAAGGUCAAUGGAUGAUCCCAGUGUUCAUAUGUGAGCAUACAUGUUACUGUGUCUGUACAGUCUGCUGCUGAGUUUAUUCCACUGUGUUGGUAUUGUUAUUAAAUGUUCAUUCUUGACAUCAAGGAUUCACAGUUUGACAAAAUAAUUAAUAAGCAACUUCAACCACUACUCAUAGUUUCCAGCGUCACAUUGAGUUUGCCCUGUCAUCAUCACUUAUGUCAUUUGGUCAUGUGACAGGUAGUCAUUAGGGUAAUACUUACUGUAGAUAAAGGGAAAAGGCUCUGACGUAUUUCGGUAAUUUUAGAUCUUCUUCAAACCAGGUGUAAUAUACAAACUCCUUUUUGAAUUAGAAAUGUUGUAUCAAUGUCUGGCAUUCUGUACGGAAUGUCUUACUUCUUACUUACUAACAUAUAUUUCCAAUUUUUUUUUCAUGUUAUAGAAAUCCAUUAAAAAUAUUCUAGAAAUUGUCUUGAAUGGUAUUUUAUUGCAUGUAUAAAAAACUAUGCACUAAACUGUCAUAACCUUGACAAAAAAUGAAUUCCCAGUUGUUAUAUGAAGGAUAUAUUUAUAUAAAUAAUAUAUAUGAGAGCCAUGGAGCCUGGAAUGUAAAGAAAAAAACAUGAAUCACUAUUAAACACCUCAAGUUGGCCAAAUAGUCAUUAGGGAUGUAAAUGAUAUACAUUUUCCCUGAAUAGAAGAAACUAUGCAGCCCCACUGGUCCUUGCAUGUGUGCAAUAAAAUAAAUUAGCAUUAUUCAGACUUUUGAAUUGAAGGGGGAUGAAGCUGAUGAUGGAGAUAACAUCACCCAAUUCACCCUACCACCCCACCCAGCACUGCCCCCUGCUCCGCCUCGAGGUUUUACUCUCCUGAUCGAUUGGCUCAUCCUGUCUCCAUCCCAGGAAUCCCUCAGCAGCUGAUCAGCACAGCUCCCUUUCCCAAGGACACAGCUAUUCCCAUAUCCGAGAUGCUGGAUUCCUGGCCUAUUCCCACGUGCACCCUUCAAAGGAAAUGUCCCUGGGAAGGCAGCUAUUACCAUGGCAAGGAAUGCAGAAAAGAAAUACAUAGCACGGGAGACAUGUUUGUGUUAGAAUAAAAUCUACUGGUAUUUGUGUUAUGCGUAUUAUUAGCAUUGUUUGACAGCUGAUGUUUCUACGUCCUUUUGAUCAACAUCUGAUUUAAAUAUUGCGCAGAUUACAAUUUUUAAAGCAUUCUUGUUGAAAUUUUUUAAAAUAACAGCCAUAUGAAACACUGUUGAAUAUGUGCAUAACUUCCUUAUAUUUGUAUUUGUUAGUCACCCUCUCUUACCCUGAUGUUACAUCACUGAUGUCCUGGGACUAUAAUGAAGGACCAGAGGGCUGUAGAAAUGAUGAUCACAUGUGGGUUCAGCAUGACAUACUCUGUGUCUUUAAGCAACACGUAAAUGUGAAUUUGUAGGAUUAUGAUGGUCAUAAUGAAUUGAUGAGGAGCAUAUGACAUUAGGUGAGUCCUCAUAAUGUUUGGUGUGCAGAGACUUGGUGUGCAUUAAGAUGUCUUAAUGUUAAGCCACGCCGAGCAGCACACCUCUAGAGAAAGUGUGUUUGCCCUGUUUUUCUGAGAUAACAAGAUCAUUAUCUAAGUAUUGUGGUCUUUUUUUGAAUGGACGUGACAAGAAUACUUCGAUUUGAGCAAAAGCACAAUCAUUUGUUGUCACAUAAUUCAGAAAAACAGCAGUUAUUUCACAAUGAGGAUAAUAAUCUCACUAUUUCAGGGAAACGGAUCCGUCUGCCAGUCCACAGAUUUAAACUGAUGUCAUCAACUGUUGGAUGGAUUGCAAGGACAUUUUGUACAGACAUGCAUGGUACCCAGAUGAUGAAACCUAAUGACUUCAGUGAUCUUCUGACUUCUCCUCCAGCGCCACCAAGAGGUGGUGCGUUGUGCGUGCAGGUUCGGACCCGCGUGGCGCUGCGCUGUGCUCGGCCUGAGUCCCCGUUCUCUGCGUCAUCCCUCUCAUCACGCAGACUGGCCGACCUCAGAUGACUUUGCAGACACACUCUGCAGUCCACCGGUCACGUGCGAAUCUCUCCCCCCCCCCCCUCUCUCUCCCCGCGGUUGCUCGUUUUACUCCGGAUCACAGCGGUAGUGCUUCUCCUGGUAAUCCACAACCUUUACCUAAGUGAGUCCAUCAAAGGAGGAGGGCCAUCCGUCUGCAGCUGUUCACUAGUUGCUUGUGACACGCUCCACUGUAAACGAAGUUAACCUGCGGCCGUGUUGAAGGUACAGAUAGUGUCUCUAUUAACUGAGUUAUCCGCCUAUUUGAAGCUCUGUUAAUUGCUGCCUGAAAGUUGCUUUGAUGUGGCGGAUGCUGUGGGAUGCUACAGUGCUAAGUAUUAAGUCCCAGCACACACACACACACACACACACACAGUGUGACCCGCUAUUCUCUCACUUUCUGUCUUUUUCCAUAAGUUAUGCUCUUCUCUGUAAAUAUCGAUGCAAAUAUAUGCCGAAGAGUUAAGUUCAGGAAGAGGUCAAAUGUGAUGCAUUUCGCUCUACUGCUGUGUCUACAGUUUCACAGUAAAACCACUGUUUGAGAAGGUGCCCUGUGCUCCAUCUCAGGUAACAUGGAGUGUUCCGCUGAGACUAUAAGACAGCACAUGAUCUGCGUACAUUUUUUAAAGCAUGUUCUGUAAAUCAUGGCUUUUAAAAUUAAACAGAGCCUCUCAGCGAUGACGCAUGGAGGAACAUCAA